Molecule: long non-coding RNA, 1290 nt
Organism: Pelmatolapia mariae (spotted tilapia)
Lineage: Eukaryota; Metazoa; Chordata; Actinopteri; Cichliformes; Cichlidae
Exons: 3
Source: RefSeq, a predicted model, not a curated record
AUGAUUUCAUGGUAAGAGCUGCUCAGCCAUUUAAAACCAGAUAUGAACUAAUCCUGAAAAGUAGCAAAACAACAGAGAACAAAGCAAAAGGCAGAAAAAAUCCAGAAUGAAAAAAAGAGAAAGGGUAUUGUGUGUCUGUUUGCAUGGGUGUGUGUUUGUGUGUUUGUUGCCAGACGCGUGCCGCGGUGCUUGCGAGGUCAGCUGAGGGGGAAAAAGCGGAUUCUUUCGACUAAGUCUUCAAUUUGAUUAGCAGUAAAGCAGCGCUUUGCUGUGGGGUAGCCUUCACGUGACAUGCACACACAUUGCAGUCGGUUUAAACAGGUGCUAAUUAGGCUUAAAGUCCAGACCUGUGGAUGUUUUGGUAAUUAGUCGCCUGCCUGCUCUGUUUCCCAUAUCUCUGCCAUCACCUCUUCCUUCAUACAACUGAAGAAAUCUUAGAAAUGCAAUGCUCUUAGCAGCGGCUGGUACCGAUGACUGUUCUCUCUCUAACAAGCACACAUACGCAUACAGGGAGGUCAAAGGGGAUUGCACUAAUGCUGUUCUGCAGUACUUAUGACUCAGUAUACUCUGAGAAUCAGCAAGCUGGUUAAAACCAGGCAACAAAUGGUCCUUAAAGGCAGUGCUCUGCAGCGCACCAGUACUGUUUAAGGGAAAAUAUUUUUUUCCUCAAUUUGCAAAGGCUUCCUUCCACACCAGAGCAUUUUACUCAAAUGCUCAUGCAUGCAUUUGGACCAGCUCCCUGCAGACCAGCAUACAGUCCAGCUACCGUGAGGACGUAACACAGACCACUGUUCCAUGUCACAAUGCCACACUAAUCAGUCAUCUGGGUAGAGUGGGAGCCAAACACAUGGAUCUCUGCCUCUGUUUUACCACAGGUUUGCUGAAGUUUCUCUAGUUGUUGUUCCUGAAGGGUAUGUACAGUGUCCUGGUCCCUCAGUCCUCCUUUCCUGCCUGCUCCAGGCUUUGCCUUCUCUCUGUCCUUCACUCUCUCCUCUCUCUGUGCUUGUGUGUCUGUGUCAGUGUUCACGGGAAGGACUCAUUGCGGGUUCCCGCCUCUGGCUGAACACACCUGCUACAAUCAAUCACCUGUUCUCGAUGAUCUCGUUAAGAAGCACUAUUUAAGAGGGCGGCUGAGGUUCAUUCUUCUCUGGAUCGUUGAACUGUGCUAGCUUCCCUGGAUUUUCCCCGUCCUGGAGUUCUUGGAGAGACUGCCUGAGCUGAGUCAGUGUGGAUCCCCUGUUCCCCCCUUCGUACUACCUGUAUAUAUCACCCUGGUGUUUCACUGUAAAU